Molecule: transfer RNA, 83 nt
Filed under: Pseudomonas wadenswilerensis
Lineage: Bacteria; Pseudomonadati; Pseudomonadota; Gammaproteobacteria; Pseudomonadales; Pseudomonadaceae
Also listed under: 1 other name
Description: tRNA-Arg
Source: RNAcentral
AAGGCCGCUGGUAAAGCCGUUGAUCAGCUGUUGUUCCUGGCGAUAGCGCGCCUGGCGCUCGGUGCUGAGGCCGGGCGGCAUCU